GGGUUGUGAGGUUAAGCGACUAAGCGUACACGGUGGAUGCCCUGGCAGUCAGAGGCGAUGAAGGGCGUGCUAAUCUGCGAUAAGCGCCGGUAAGGUGAUAUGAACCGUUAUAACCGGCGAUACCCGAAUGGGGAAACCCAGUGUGAUUCGUCACACUAUCAUUAACUGAAUCCAUAGGUUAAUGAGGCGAACCGGGGGAACUGAAACAUCUAAGUACCCCGAGGAAAAGAAAUCAACCGAGAUUCCCCCAGUAGCGGCGAGCGAACGGGGAGGAGCCCAGAGCCUGAAUCAGCAUGUGUGUUAGUGGAAGCGUCUGGAAAGGCGCGCGAUACAGGGUGACAGCCCCGUACACAAAAGCGCAUGUGCUGUGAGCUCGAUGAGUAGGGCGGGACACGUGGUAUCCUGUCUGAAUAUGGGGGGACCAUCCUCCAAGGCUAAAUACUCCUGACUGACCGAUAGUGAACCAGUACCGUGAGGGAAAGGCGAAAAGAACCCCGGCGAGGGGAGUGAAAAAGAACCUGAAACCGUGUACGUACAAGCAGUGGGAGCACAGGUUUACCUGUGUGACUGCGUACCUUUUGUAUAAUGGGUCAGCGACUUAUAUUCUGUAGCAAGGUUAACCGAAUAGGGGAGCCGGAGGGAAACCGAGUCUUAAUUGGGCGUUAAGUUGCAGGGUAUAGACCCGAAACCCGGUGAUCUAGCCAUGGGCAGGUUGAAGGUUGGGUAACACUAACUGGAGGACCGAACCGACUAAUGUUGAAAAAUUAGCGGAUGACCUGUGGCUGGGGGUGAAAGGCCAAUCAAACCGGGAGAUAGCUGGUUCUCCCCGAAAGCUAUUUAGGUAGCGCCUCGUGAAUUCAUCUCCGGGGGUAGAGCACUGUUUCGGCUAGGGGGCCAUCCCGGCUUACCAACCCGAUGCAAACUGCGAAUACCGGAGAAUGUUAUCACGGGAGACACACGGCGGGUGCUAACGUCCGUCGUGAAGAGGGAAACAACCCAGACCGCCAGCUAAGGUCCCAAAGUCAUGGUUAAGUGGGAAACGAUGUGGGAAGGCCCAGACAGCCAGGAUGUUGGCUUAGAAGCAGCCAUCAUUUAAAGAAAGCGUAAUAGCUCACUGGUCGAGUCGGCCUGCGCGGAAGAUGUAACGGGGCUAAACCAUGCACCGAAGCUGCGGCAGCGACGCUUAUGCGUUGUUGGGUAGGGGAGCGUUCUGUAAGCCUGUGAAGGUGGCCUGUGAGGGUUGCUGGAGGUAUCAGAAGUGCGAAUGCUGACAUAAGUAACGAUAAAGCGGGUGAAAAGCCCGCUCGCCGGAAGACCAAGGGUUCCUGUCCAACGUUAAUCGGGGCAGGGUGAGUCGACCCCUAAGGCGAGGCCGAAAGGCGUAGUCGAUGGGAAACGGGUUAAUAUUCCCGUACUUGGUGUUACUGCGAAGGGGGGACGGAGAAGGCUAUGUUGGCCGGGCGACGGUUGUCCCGGUUUAAGCGUGUAGGUGUGUGUUCCAGGUAAAUCCGGUUCACUUUAACACUGAGGCGUGAUGACGAGGCACUACGGUGCUGAAGUAACAAAUGCCCUGCUUCCAGGAAAAGCCUCUAAGCAUCAGGUAACAUCAAAUCGUACCCCAAACCGACACAGGUGGUCAGGUAGAGAAUACCAAGGCGCUUGAGAGAACUCGGGUGAAGGAACUAGGCAAAAUGGUGCCGUAACUUCGGGAGAAGGCACGCUGACACGUAGGUGAAGUGAUUUACUCACGGAGCUGAAGUCAGUCGAAGAUACCAGCUGGCUGCAACUGUUUAUUAAAAACACAGCACUGUGCAAACACGAAAGUGGACGUAUACGGUGUGACGCCUGCCCGGUGCCGGAAGGUUAAUUGAUGGGGUCAGCGCAAGCGAAGCUCCUGAUCGAAGCCCCGGUAAACGGCGGCCGUAACUAUAACGGUCCUAAGGUAGCGAAAUUCCUUGUCGGGUAAGUUCCGACCUGCACGAAUGGCGUAAUGAUGGCCAGGCUGUCUCCACCCGAGACUCAGUGAAAUUGAACUCGCUGUGAAGAUGCAGUGUACCCGCGGCAAGACGGAAAGACCCCGUGAACCUUUACUAUAGCUUGACACUGAACAUUGAGCCUUGAUGUGUAGGAUAGGUGGGAGGCUUUGAAGCGUGGACGCCAGUCUGCGUGGAGCCGACCUUGAAAUACCACCCUUUAAUGUUUGAUGUUCUAACGUGGACCCGUGAUCCGGGUUGCGGACAGUGUCUGGUGGGUAGUUUGACUGGGGCGGUCUCCUCCUAAAGAGUAACGGAGGAGCACGAAGGUUGGCUAAUCCUGGUCGGACAUCAGGAGGUUAGUGCAAUGGCAUAAGCCAGCUUGACUGCGAGCGUGACGGCGCGAGCAGGUGCGAAAGCAGGUCAUAGUGAUCCGGUGGUUCUGAAUGGAAGGGCCAUCGCUCAACGGAUAAAAGGUACUCCGGGGAUAACAGGCUGAUACCGCCCAAGAGUUCAUAUCGACGGCGGUGUUUGGCACCUCGAUGUCGGCUCAUCACAUCCUGGGGCUGAAGUAGGUCCCAAGGGUAUGGCUGUUCGCCAUUUAAAGUGGUACGCGAGCUGGGUUUAGAACGUCGUGAGACAGUUCGGUCCCUAUCUGCCGUGGGCGCUGGAGAACUGAGGGGGGCUGCUCCUAGUACGAGAGGACCGGAGUGGACGCAUCACUGGUGUUCGGGUUGUCAUGCCAAUGGCACUGCCCGGUAGCUAAAUGCGGAAGAGAUAAGUGCUGAAAGCAUCUAAGCACGAAACUUGCCCCGAGAUGAGUUCUCCCUGAGACUUAGAGUCUCCUGAAGGAACGUUGAAGACGACGACGUUGAUAGGCCGGGUGUGUAAGCGCAGCGAUGCGUUGAGCUAACCGGUACUAAUGAACCGUGAGGCUUAACCUUACAACGCCGAAG
This 2929-nucleotide ribosomal RNA is filed under the name Salmonella enterica subsp. enterica serovar Dublin. RNAcentral's name for it is "bacterial LSU rRNA". It matches the Rfam family "Bacterial large subunit ribosomal RNA". Lineage: Bacteria; Pseudomonadati; Pseudomonadota; Gammaproteobacteria; Enterobacterales; Enterobacteriaceae. The record is from RNAcentral.